RNAcentral lists this long non-coding RNA (203 nucleotides) under Manihot esculenta (cassava). RNAcentral's name for it is "long non-coding RNA (MESC_LNC010853)". The record is from RNAcentral. Lineage: Eukaryota; Viridiplantae; Streptophyta; Magnoliopsida; Malpighiales; Euphorbiaceae.
UUUGAAUCAUUAGCUAAGUUUAUAUAAAUUGCAAGUAAAUCUAAACUGGUCACAGGGAUAGUGCAUUUAGAACAAUCUGUAUUUCUUUUACCAUAACUAAUUUUGUACUUAAUGAAAUGAGUUAUGACCAAUGUCAAAUGAAUCCUGAGAUGUAUACCUAAAACUUUGUAGAAUAUAUAUAAACUUGAAUCUAUAUAAAAAUG